AUUUUUGUUUUCUCUCUAGUACGAUGCCUGAACUGUUUUUCUCACUCUGUGAGAUACUUCAGUGAUAUUCCCACAGUUCCUGCAGGUUACCUGACAUUUCCUCUUUAGCCUGAAUGUUUGAACUCCUGCAGCGUUUGUAUGGGACAAGUCUGUCCACCAUCUGGAACAAUUACAAGUGACUGGAAAGUACUGUUCCUAAAGAAAGGACAUCCAGCAGUAGAGGCGCUGGUCCAUCCCAGAACCCUCACUUGUACCUCCAGGACAGUGAUGUGCUUCUCCACUAAGAUUCAGAAUGGAAGAGUCUGAACAUCUGAUGUUAACAUUUUCAGACAGGUUUCUCUUGGGAUCCAUCAUGUUUCGUUGUUAUACUACCAGAAACACCUUUGAGCUCUGACCUCUCUUUGGGAUUGUAACAUCAGUAGCUGCAGGUUAUACAGAAGUCACUGAAACGCUUAAUGUAAAUGUAUUAAUUGAGACCCAGAAACAGUCUUUACCAAAGACUUUAGCUUGUCUAACUUAAAAAGAAGUGGGAGCUGGCUGUUCACAAAGUGGUUUGCAGAGCUGGAUUCAUCAUUUCUCCUCUAAGAAAUCAUGGAAUCAUAGAAUGGCCUGGGUUGAAAAGGACCACAAUGCUCAUCUAGUUUCUACCCCCUGCAGGGUCAUCAACCACCAGACCAGGUGCAAAAAGACACAAAUGGAGAUUUUCAGCGUUUAUGAUAGACUUUGCAUGUCCUGGAGUUAAUGAAAUUGCCCAGGAAACCCGAGUAGCUGCUGAGAAAGUGCUGAGGAAGCUCUUGAAGAAAUCCUGUUUCAAUUUGCUUCUUUAAAUUACUUGAAAAAAGACCUGUUUGUUAUCUAAUUUGUUGAUGAAUUCGGUCACUUUCUGGAAUGAUUGCUUGUGUAAUUUACUUUAUUGGCACAUUAUUUAAAGUUCUCAUUCAGCUUCAGGCUGGGGGUUUCGCAGCCAGUCUUAUACAAUGGGAAAUUGGUGUCACUUCGUGUCAGAGCAAUCAGGAGCACUGGUG
RNAcentral lists this long non-coding RNA (1025 nucleotides) under Coturnix japonica (Japanese quail). Its description in RNAcentral is "lncRNA (ENSCJPG00005002829.1)". The record is from RNAcentral. Lineage: Eukaryota; Metazoa; Chordata; Aves; Galliformes; Phasianidae.